GCCUCUGUGGCGCAACGGAUAGCGCGUUCGAUUACGGAUCGAAAGGUUGAAGGUUCGAGUCCUUCCAGGGGUGC
This 74-nucleotide transfer RNA is filed under the name Mycobacteroides abscessus subsp. abscessus. RNAcentral describes it as "tRNA-Arg(acg)". It matches the Rfam family "tRNA". From Rfam's summary of the family: Transfer RNA (tRNA) molecules are approximately 80 nucleotides in length. Lineage: Bacteria; Bacillati; Actinomycetota; Actinomycetes; Mycobacteriales; Mycobacteriaceae. The record is from RNAcentral.